GUAGGGUGCAAGCGUUAUCCGGAAUCAUUGGGCGUAAAGAGCUCGUAGGCGGUUCAGCAAGUCGGCUGUGAAAUCCCGAGGCUUAACCUCGGAACUGCAGUCGAUACUGCUGUGACUAGAGUCCGGUAGAGGAGAAUGGAAUUCCCGGUGUAGCGGUGAAAUGCGCAGAUAUCGGGAGGAACACCAGUAGCGAAGGCGGUUCUCUGGGCCGGUACUGACGCUGAGGAGCGAAAGCGUGGGUAGCAAACAGGAUUAGAUACCCUGGUAGUCCACGCCGUAAACGUUGGACACUAGGUGUGGCGUUCCGACCAACGGGUGCCGUGCCGAAGCUAACGCAUUAAGUGUCCCGCCUGGGGAGUACGGCCGCAAGGCUA
This 374-nucleotide ribosomal RNA is filed under the name uncultured organism. Its description in RNAcentral is "partial 16S ribosomal RNA". It matches the Rfam family "Bacterial small subunit ribosomal RNA", at positions 527 to 896 of the family's 1533-position model. The record is from RNAcentral.